Molecule: ribosomal RNA, 486 nt
Filed under: uncultured bacterium
Lineage: Bacteria
Description: partial 16S ribosomal RNA
Rfam family: Bacterial small subunit ribosomal RNA
Source: RNAcentral
AUUGAACGCUGGCGGCAUGCCUUACACAUGCAAGUCGAACGGCAGCACGGGUGCUUGCCCCUGGUGGCGAGUGGCGAACGGGUGAGUAAUACAUCGGAACAUGUCCUGUAGUGGGGGAUAGCCCGGCGAAAGCCGGAUUAGUACCGCAUACGAUCUACGGAUGAAAGCGGGGGACCUUCGGGCCUCGCGCUAUAGGGUUGGCCGAUGGCUGAUUAGCUAGUUGGUGGGGUAAAGGCCUACCAAGGCGACGAUCAGUAGCUGGUCUGAGAGGACGACCAGCCACACUGGGACUGAGACACGGCCCAGACUCCUACGGGAGGCAGCAGUGGGGAAUUUUGGACAAUGGGCGAAAGCCUGAUCCAGCAAUGCCGCGUGUGUGAAGAAGGCCUUCGGGUUGUAAAGCACUUUUGUCCGGAAAGAAAUCCUUGGCCCUAAUACGGUCGGGGGAUGACGGUACCGGAAGAAUAAGCACCGGCUAACUACGUG